AAGUCGUAACAAGGUUUCCGUAGGUGAACCUGCGGAAGGAUCAUUAGCGAGAGCCUGCCACGGAUGCAAGUCUGUGAGCAAGCGCGCCAUCCUUGUGUUGUGUGUGUUGCCUGUGCACCUGACAAUGUUUGACAGUGUCGGUGUGCACACGCGCAUUUUCACCCAUUAUCCCAUUUAUCUAAUGCAACUGCUCAUACUGAGCACAAACAACCGAAAACUGCCAGCAAUGGAUCACUCGGUUCUC
Molecule: unclassified non-coding RNA, 244 nt
Filed under: fungal sp.
Lineage: Eukaryota; Fungi
Description: partial internal transcribed spacer region
Rfam family: Eukaryotic small subunit ribosomal RNA (bases 1-46)
Source: RNAcentral